Molecule: ribosomal RNA, 468 nt
Filed under: uncultured bacterium
Lineage: Bacteria
Description: partial 16S ribosomal RNA
Rfam family: Bacterial small subunit ribosomal RNA
Source: RNAcentral
GACGAACGCUGGCGGCGUGCUUAACACAUGCAGGUCGAACGGAAAGGCCCUGCUUUUGUGGGGUGCUCGAGUGGCGAACGGGUGAGUAACACGUGAGUAACCUGCCCUUGACUUUGGGAUAACUUCAGGAAACUGGGGCUAAUACCGGAUAGGAGCUCCUGCUGCAUGGUGGGGGUUGGAAAGUUUCGGCGGUUGGGGAUGGACUCGCGGCUUAUCAGCUUGUUGGUGGGGUAGUGGCUUACCAAGGCUUUGACGGGUAGCCGGCCUGAGAGGGUGACCGGCCACAUUGGGACUGAGAUACGGCCCAGACUCCUACGGGAGGCAGCAGUGGGGAAUAUUGCACAAUGGGCGGAAGCCUGAUGCAGCAACGCCGCGUGCGGGAUGACGGCCUUCGGGUUGUAAACCGCUUUCGCCUGUGACGAAGCGUGAGUGACGGUAAUGUGUAAAGAAGCACCGGCUAACUACGUG